UACGGAGGGUGCAAGCGUUAUCCGGAUUCACUGGGUUUAAAGGGUGCGUAGGAGGGCAGGUAAGUCAGUGGUGAAAUCUCCAAGCUUAACUUGGAAACUGCCGUUGAUACUAUCUGUCUUGAAUACCGUGGAGGUGAGCGGAAUAUGUCAUGUAGCGGUGAAAUGCUUAGAUAUGACAUAGAACACCAAUUGCGAAGGCAGCUGACUACGGGAGCAUUGACACUGAGGCACGAAAGCGUGGGGAUCAAACAGG
This 253-nucleotide ribosomal RNA is filed under the name uncultured bacterium. Its description in RNAcentral is "partial 16S ribosomal RNA". It matches the Rfam family "Bacterial small subunit ribosomal RNA", at positions 524 to 776 of the family's 1533-position model. The record is from RNAcentral.